Molecule: ribosomal RNA, 460 nt
Filed under: uncultured bacterium
Lineage: Bacteria
Description: partial 16S ribosomal RNA
Rfam family: Bacterial small subunit ribosomal RNA
Source: RNAcentral
CCUACGGGUGGCAGCAGUGAGGAAUAUUGGUCAAUGGACGAGAGUCUGAACCAGCCAAGUAGCUUGAAGGAUGACUGCCCUAUGGGUUGUAAACUUCUUUUAUAUGGGAAUAAAAUGUUCCACGUGUGGGAUUUUGUAUGUACCAUAUGAAUAAGGAUCGGCUAACUCCGUGCCAGCAGCCGCGGUAAUACGGAGGAUCCGAGCGUUAUCCGGAUUUAUUGGGUUUAAAGGGAGCGUAGGUGGAUUGUUAAGUCAGUUGUGAAAGUUUGCGGCUCAACCGUAAAAUUGCAGUUGAAACUGGCAGUCUUGAGUACAGUAGAGGUGGGCGGAAUUCGUGGUGUAGCGGUGAAAUGCUUAGAUAUCACGAAGAACUCCGAUUGCGAAGGCAGUUCACUGGACUGCAACUGACACUGAGGCUCGAAAGUGUGGGUAUCAAACAGGAUUAGAUACCCUAGUAGUC